CGAGGGGCCCAAAACAUGCAAGUUCGAACGGCAGCACGGGUGCUUGCACCUGGUGGCGAGUGGCGAACGGGUGAAUAAGGAAUAGGAACGUACCCGGAAGUGGGGGAUAACGUAGCGCAUGUCAUGCUAAUACCGCAUAUUCUGUGAGCAGGAAAGCGGGGGAUCGCAAGACCUCGCGCGAUUGGAGCGGCCGAUGGCAUAUUAGGUAGUUGGUGGGGUAAAGGCUCACCAAGCCGACGAUCUGUAGCUGGUCUGAGAGGACGACCAGCCACACUGGGACUGAGACACGGCCCAGACUCCUACGGGAGGCAGCAGUGGGGAAUUUUGGACAAUGGGCGCAAGCCUGAUCCAGCCAUUCCGCGUGCAGGAUGAAGGCCUUCGGGUUGUAAACCUCUUUCAGCAGGGACGAAGCGCAAGUGACGGUACCUGCAGAAGAAGCACCGGCCAACUACGUGCCUUUUUUUUCGGUAAUA
RNAcentral lists this ribosomal RNA (473 nucleotides) under uncultured Curvibacter sp. RNAcentral's name for it is "bacterial SSU rRNA". It matches the Rfam family "Bacterial small subunit ribosomal RNA", at positions 40 to 525 of the family's 1533-position model. Lineage: Bacteria; Pseudomonadati; Pseudomonadota; Betaproteobacteria; Burkholderiales; Comamonadaceae. The record is from RNAcentral.